Molecule: ribosomal RNA, 484 nt
Filed under: uncultured bacterium
Lineage: Bacteria
Description: partial 16S ribosomal RNA
Rfam family: Bacterial small subunit ribosomal RNA
Source: RNAcentral
AUUGAACGCUGGCGGCAUGCUUUACACAUGCAAGUCGAACGGCAACGCGGGCUUCGGCCUGGCGGCGAGUGGCGAACGGGUGAGUAAUGCAUCGGAACGUGCCCAGUAGUGGGGGAUAGCCCGGCGAAAGCCGGAUUAAUACCGCAUACGACCUGAGGGUGAAAGCGGGGGACCGAAAGGCCUCGCGCUAUUGGAGCGGCCGAUGUCGGAUUAGCUAGUUGGUGGGGUAAAGGCUUACCAAGGCGACGAUCCGUAGCUGGUCUGAGAGGACGACCAGCCACACUGGGACUGAGACACGGCCCAGACUCCUACGGGAGGCAGCAGUGGGGAAUUUUGGACAAUGGGGGCAACCCUGACGCAGCCAUGCCGCGUGCGGGAAGAAGGCCUUCGGGUUGUAAACCGCUUUUGUUCGGGAAGAAAACCUCUGGGCUAAUACCCCGGGGGGAUGACGGUACCGGAAGAGUAAGCACCGGCUAACUACGUG